GGUGCCAUAGCUCAGUUGGUAGAGCAAAGGACUGAAAACCCUUGUGUCCCCGGUUCGAUUCCUGGUGGCACCA
This 73-nucleotide transfer RNA is filed under the name Bacteroidaceae bacterium. RNAcentral's name for it is "tRNA-Phe". It matches the Rfam family "tRNA". From Rfam's summary of the family: Transfer RNA (tRNA) molecules are approximately 80 nucleotides in length. Their secondary structure includes four short double-helical elements and three loops (D, anti-codon, and T loops). Lineage: Bacteria; Pseudomonadati; Bacteroidota; Bacteroidia; Bacteroidales; Bacteroidaceae. The record is from RNAcentral.